CCCAGACAGCCAGGAUGUUGGCUUAGAAGCAGCCAUCAUUUAAAGAAAGCGUAAUAGCUCACUGGUCGAGUCGGCCUGCGCGGAAGAUGUAACGGGGCUAAACCAUGCACCGAAGCUGCGGCAGCGACGCUGAUGCGUUGUUGGGUAGGGGAGCGUUCUGUAAGCCUGUGAAGGUGUGUCGUGAGGCAUGCUGGAGGUAUCAGAAGUGCGAAUGCUGACAUAAGUAACGAUAAAGCGGGUGAAAAGCCCGCUCGCCGGAAGACCAAGGGUUCCUGUCCAACGUUAAUCGGGGCAGGGUGAGUCGACCCCUAAGGCGAGGCCGAAAGGCGUAGUCGAUGGGAAACGGGUUAAUAUUCCCGUACUUGGUGUUACUGCGAAGGGGGGACGGAGAAGGCUAUGUUGGCCGGGCGACGGUUGUCCCGGUUUAAGCGUGUAGGUGUGUGUUCCAGGUAAAUCCGGUUCACUUUAACACUGAGGCGUGACGACGAGGCACUACGGUGCUGAAGCAACAAAUGCCCUGCUUCCAGGAAAAGCCUCUAAGCAUCAGGUAACA
Molecule: ribosomal RNA, 553 nt
Filed under: Salmonella enterica subsp. enterica serovar 4,[5],12:i:-
Lineage: Bacteria; Pseudomonadati; Pseudomonadota; Gammaproteobacteria; Enterobacterales; Enterobacteriaceae
Description: bacterial LSU rRNA
Rfam family: Bacterial large subunit ribosomal RNA
Source: RNAcentral